RNAcentral lists this ribosomal RNA (1046 nucleotides) under Semium hirtum. RNAcentral describes it as "bacterial SSU rRNA". It matches the Rfam family "Eukaryotic small subunit ribosomal RNA", at positions 401 to 1336 of the family's 1831-position model. The record is from RNAcentral. Lineage: Eukaryota; Metazoa; Arthropoda; Insecta; Hemiptera; Miridae.
AAACGGCUACCACAUCCAAGGAAGGCAGCAGGCACGCAAAUUACCCACUCCCGGCACGGGGAGGUAGUGACAAAAAAUAACGAUACGGGACUCAUUUGAGGCCCCGUAAUCGGAAUGAGUACACUUUAAAUCCUUUAACAAGGAUCCAUUGGAGGGCAAGUUCGGUGCCAGCAGCCGCGGUAAUUCCGACUCCAAUAGCGUAUAUUAAAGAAAAAGCUUUGUAGUUGGUUCUGCGUGCCACGCUGUCGGUUCACCGCCUGCCGGUGCUACUGGCAUGCCGUGGCAUGUCCUGUCGGUGGGUGCUUGGGGCCCCGUGCGGGCGGCAGGAGGCCGGGCUCGCUCGCGCUCCUCUUCGCACGUCGGCGGGUCAACUCCGGCUCCCUAUUAUCCUACCUAGGUGCUCUUGACCGAGUGUCGAGGUAGGCCGACACGUUUACUUUGAACAAAUCAGAGUGCUCAAAGCAGGCUGAAUAAUUCUGCCUGAAUGAUGGCGCAUGGAAUAAUAAAACAGGACCUUGGUUCUAUUUUGUUGGUUCUUAAGAUCACAAGGUAAUGAUCAAUACGGACAGGCGGGGGCAUUCGUAUUGCGGGGUUAGACUUGGCAAAUGCUUUCGCGGUGAAAUUCUUGGAUCCUCGCAAGACGACCGAGAGCGAAAGCAUUUGCCAAGUAUGUCUCGAUUGAUCAAGAACGAAAGUUAGAGGUUCGAAGGCGAUCAGAUACCGCCCUAGUUCUAACCAUAAACGAUGCCAGCCAGCGAUCCGCCGAUGUUCCUCCGAUGACUCGGCGGGGAGCUUCUCCCCGGGAAACCAAAGCUUUUGGGUUCCGGGGGAAGUAUGGUUGCAAAGCUGAAACUUAAAGGAAUUGACGGAAGGGCACCACCAGGAGUGGAGCCUGCGGCUUAAUUUGACUCAACACGGGAAACCUCACCAGGUCAGGACAUUGUCAGGAUUGACAGAUUGAUAGCUCUUUCUUGAUUCAGUGGGUAGUGGUGCAUGGCCGUUCUUAGUUGGUGGAUCGAUUUGUCUGGUUAAUUCCGAUAACGAAC